AGAAUGAACGUUGGCGGCGUGGAUUAGGCAUGCAAGUCGUACGGGCCGCAAGGCCAGUGGCGCAAGGGUGAGUAAGGCGACGGUAACCAACCCCAGGAUUGGGUAUAGCCGCGGGAAACUGCGGGUAAUCCCCAGCGAUGUUCGCGGGAGGCAUCUCCUGUGAACCAAAGCUCUGGCGUCGUGGGACGGGCUGUCGUGGUAUUAGCUUGUUGGCGGGGUAACGGCCCACCAAGGCUCUGAUGCCUACCGGGCGUGCGAGCGUGGCCCGGCACACUGGGACUGAGACACUGCCCAGACUCCUACGGGAGGCUGCAGUCGAGAAUCUUCGGCAAUGGGGCGCAAGCCUGACCGAGCGACGCCGCGUGGAGGACGAAGGCCUUCGGGUUGUAAACUCCUGUCGAGGGGAAGAAGGGCCCUUAAAAGCCUUGACUGAUCCCUGGAGGAAGCACGGGCUAAGUUCGUGCCAGCAGCCGC
RNAcentral lists this ribosomal RNA (474 nucleotides) under uncultured bacterium. RNAcentral describes it as "SSU rRNA". It matches the Rfam family "Bacterial small subunit ribosomal RNA", at positions 26 to 518 of the family's 1533-position model. The record is from RNAcentral.